Molecule: ribosomal RNA, 504 nt
Filed under: Tasmanthrus angustipennis
Lineage: Eukaryota; Metazoa; Arthropoda; Insecta; Trichoptera; Philorheithridae
Description: SSU rRNA
Rfam family: Eukaryotic small subunit ribosomal RNA
Source: RNAcentral
UGAAAUUGUGUCUUGCGGUGUCGGUCUACCGUAAGCGGUACGACAGGCACGUCUGCGGGGCUUCUCGCCGGUGCGUCCCUGCCUGCGCGCGUCGGUCGAUCUCAACGGUCGGCCGCGCGUCGCGGCGGGCCGUCGCGGCUGUUUACUUUGAACAAAUUAGAGUGCUCAAAGCGGGCUAACACUCGCCUGAAUAUUGUACGCAUGGAAUAAUAGAAUAGGACCUCGGUUCAAUUUUGUUGGCUUUCUGAUACCAGAGGUAAUGAUUAAUAGGGACAACUGGGGGCAUUCGUAUUGCGACGUUAGAGGUGAAAUUCUUGGAUCGUCGCAAGACGGACUAAAGCGAAAGCAUUUGCCAAAGGUGUUUUCAUUAAUCAAGAACGAAAGUUAGAGGUUCGAAGGCGAUUAGAUACCGCUGUAGUUCUAACCAUAAAUGAUGCCAGCCAGCGAUCCGCCGAAGUUUCAUAUUUUAACUCGGUGGGCAGCUCCCGGGAAACCAAAGCUUUC